AAAUUGAAGAGUUUGAUCAUGGCUCAGAUUGAACGCUGGCGGCAGGCCUAACACAUGCAAGUCGAACGGUAACAGGAAGCAGCUUGCUGCUUCGCUGACGAGUGGCGGACGGGUGAGUAAUGUCUGGGAAACUGCCUGAUGGAGGGGGAUAACUACUGGAAACGGUGGCUAAUACCGCAUAACGUCGCAAGACCAAAGAGGGGGACCUUCGGGCCUCUUGCCAUCAGAUGUGCCCAGAUGGGAUUAGCUUGUUGGUGAGGUAAUGGCUCACCAAGGCGACGAUCCCUAGCUGGUCUGAGAGGAUGACCAGCCACACUGGAACUGAGACACGGUCCAGACUCCUACGGGAGGCAGCAGUGGGGAAUAUUGCACAAUGGGCGCAAGCCUGAUGCAGCCAUGCCGCGUGUAUGAAGAAGGCCUUCGGGUUGUAAAGUACUUUCAGCGGGGAGGAAGGUGUUGU
RNAcentral lists this ribosomal RNA (460 nucleotides) under Salmonella enterica. Its description in RNAcentral is "bacterial SSU rRNA". It matches the Rfam family "Bacterial small subunit ribosomal RNA", at positions 1 to 457 of the family's 1533-position model. Lineage: Bacteria; Pseudomonadati; Pseudomonadota; Gammaproteobacteria; Enterobacterales; Enterobacteriaceae. The record is from RNAcentral.